Molecule: ribosomal RNA, 696 nt
Filed under: uncultured archaeon
Lineage: Archaea
Description: bacterial SSU rRNA
Rfam family: Archaeal small subunit ribosomal RNA
Source: RNAcentral
CUUUGAUCUAUCGAUGACCNCCCGUGCGAAGGCGUUUACCAGAACACGUUCGACGGUGAGGGAUGAAAGCUGGGGAGCAAACCGGAUUAGAUACCCCGGGUAGUCCCAGCUGUAAACGAUGCAGACUCGAUGAUGCAAUGGCAUAGAGCUAUUGCAGUAUCGCAGGGAAGCCGUUAAGUCUGCCGCCUGGGAAGUACGUACGCAAGUAUGAAACUUAAAGGAAUUGGCGGGGGAGCACCACAAGGGGUGAAGCCUGCGGUUCAAUUGGAGUCAACGCCAGAAAUCUUACCCGGAGAGACAGCAGAAUGAAGGUCAGGCUGAAGACCUUACCAGACAAGCUGAGAGGUGGUGCAUGGCCGUCGUCAGCUCGUGCCGUGAGAUGUCCUGUUAAGUCAGGUAACGAGCGAGAUCCCUGCCACUAGUUGCUAUUAUUACUCUCAGGAGUAGUGGGGCGAAUUAGUGGGACCGCCACAGUUAAUGUGGAGGAAGGAAGGGGCCACGGCAGGUCGGUAUGCCCCGAAACUCUGGGGCCACACGCGGGCUGCAAUGGUAGUGACAAUGGGCUCCUAACUCGAAAGAGAGAGGCAAUCCACAAACACUACCACAGUUAUGACUGAGGGCUGUAACUCGCCCUCACGAAUAUGGAAUCCCUAGUAACUGCGUGUCAUUACCGCGCGGUGAGUACGUCCCUGCUCC